Molecule: ribosomal RNA, 468 nt
Filed under: uncultured bacterium
Lineage: Bacteria
Description: partial 16S ribosomal RNA
Rfam family: Bacterial small subunit ribosomal RNA
Source: RNAcentral
GACGAACGCUGGCGGCGUGCUUAACACAUGCAAGUCGAACGGAAAGGCCCUGCUCUUGUGGGGUGCUCGAGUGGCGCAAGCGUGUGUGACACGUGUGUAUCCUCCCCUUGACUUUGGGAUAACUCCAGGAGACUGGGGCUAAUACCCGGUAGAAGCUCCUGCUGCAUGGUGGUGGAUGGAAAGUUUCGGCGGUUGGGGAUGGACUGGCGGCUUAUCAGCUUGUUGGUGGGGUAGUGGCUUACCAAGGCUUUGACGGGUAGCCGGCCUGAGCGGGUGACCGGGGACAUUGGGACUGAGAGAGGGCGCAGACGCCUACGGGAGGCAGCGGUGGGGAGUAUGGCGCAGUGGGGGGAAGCGUGAGGCAGCAACGCCGCGUGCGUGAUGCCGGGCUGCGAGUUGUAAACCGCUUUCGCCUGUGAUGAAGCGGGCGUGACGGUAAUGGGUAAAGAAGCACCGGCUAACUACGUG